UACGUAGGGUGCAAGCGUUAAUCGGAAUUACUGGGCGUAAAGCGUGCGCAGGCGGCUUUGCAAGACAGAUGUGAAAUCCCCGGGCUCAACCUGGGAACUGCAUUUGUGACUGCAUGGCUAGAGUACGGUAGAGGGGGAUGGAAUUCCGCGUGUAGCAGUGAAAUGCGUAGAGAUCCGGAGGAACACCAGUGGCGAAAGCGGCCACCUGGACUGUACCUGACGCUGAAACGCGAAAGCUAGGGGAGCGAACGGG
This 253-nucleotide ribosomal RNA is filed under the name uncultured bacterium. Its description in RNAcentral is "partial 16S ribosomal RNA". It matches the Rfam family "Bacterial small subunit ribosomal RNA", at positions 524 to 776 of the family's 1533-position model. The record is from RNAcentral.